CCAAUAGCGUAUAUUAAAGUUGUUGCAGUUAAAAAGCUCGUAGUUGAACUUCGGGGUCUACCCAUUGGUCAGGCUUAAUUGUCUGUACUGGUGAGAUGGAUCUCUACCUUCUGAGGAACUUUCAUGCCAUUUAUUUGGUGUGAUUGGAAAUCAGGACUGUUACUUUGAAAAAAUUAGAGUGUUUAAAGCAGACUAUCGUCUGAAUACAUUAGCAUGGAAUAAUGAAAUAGGACGGACUGAUUCUAUUUCGUUGGUUUCUAGGAUCACCGUAAUGAUUAAUAGGGAUAGUUGGGGGCAUUAGUAUUCAAUUGUCAGAGGUGAAAUUCGUGGAUUUAUUGAAGACUAACUACUGCGAAAGCAUUUGCCAAGGAUGUGUUCAUUAAUCAAGAACGAAAGUUAGGGGAGCGAAGACGAUCAGAUACCGUCGUAGUCUUAACCAUAAAGUAUGCCGACUAGGGAUCGGACGAAGUUAAUUUUAUAAUGACGCGUGCGGGACCUUACG
Molecule: ribosomal RNA, 502 nt
Filed under: uncultured Glomeromycotina
Lineage: Eukaryota; Fungi; Glomeromycota
Description: partial small subunit ribosomal RNA
Rfam family: Eukaryotic small subunit ribosomal RNA
Source: RNAcentral